Molecule: long non-coding RNA, 604 nt
Filed under: Heterocephalus glaber (naked mole-rat)
Lineage: Eukaryota; Metazoa; Chordata; Mammalia; Rodentia; Bathyergidae
Description: lncRNA (ENSHGLG00000049309.1)
Source: RNAcentral
GGGGGAGCCCAGAGAGAGGCCAAAGGGAGGGAGGGGGGAGUCUGUAUUAAUUCCCGAGGCCCUCCCAAAGGAGGUCGAGGUUACCCCGGCUGGGCUGUGACCCUGGAAGGAAAGUCAGUUUCUUUCUUCUGGAUUCCAGAAAAUAACGCUGGUGUUCCUGCUGUCGACACCAGGCCCCUGCAAAAAGCCCUGGUGUUUCUUCUACUUUUCCAGCUUUGUAAAUGGCCAGCUACUACCCUGCACAGCCUCUGAGCUAUAGGGAUCCAACACAGGACCUUGGGCUUGCCAGAGCAACUUAUUGAGAGCAGAUCUGAUAUCAAAACUGUACAUGGACAGGAUUUGGACUCUGCAGGUCUGGGCCACAGGGCAGAUGGAGUCCUUGCAGGUUCAACCUUCAGUACCAUACCCAAGAAAGAAGAGGAAGAAAGGAGAAGGAAGAGGAGGAAAAAGGAGGAGAGAGAAGGAGGAGGACAAGGAGGCACCAGAGAGCUCUUUGACCCCCUUCCACCAUGAUUCGAAGACACCGAGCAAAGCUGCCAUCUGUGAACAGAAAGCAGGCCCCAAGCGGACACCAAACUGCCACACUUCAGUCUCAGACUUCCGG